AUUUCAUUGUAGAAAAUUUGAAUAUAAAAAUAAAAUAAAAAUUCUACCACAUUAAAUGAGUUACUGAGAAUGUUUUUUUCCCCUCAGGCCUUUUGGAAUUUUUUCUCCUGCUGUGGUGACCAUGGGUGAUGGGGAAUCUGUUCAGCUGAGGAAAGGGGGCCUGAGAAAUGGCUACCACGCUGGAGCAAGGAAGGGGCAAACCACUCGCUCCCAAGCAGGGAGGUAGUGGGAGGGGAGAGGGAGGGACAUAGUUACGAAAAAUGACAAUACAGGAUUCUGAGGCCAUGUAAUUAGAAUGGGUCUUCUUUAAAUCCUUCAAAAAGUCUCUAUUGGCAGGCAAGUCUGGUGUCAGCAGCCUUGGUAAUUCCAGCUCCAAU
This 377-nucleotide non-coding RNA is filed under the name Pteropus alecto (black flying fox). RNAcentral describes it as "Eukaryotic small subunit ribosomal RNA". It matches the Rfam family "Eukaryotic small subunit ribosomal RNA", at positions 205 to 595 of the family's 1831-position model. Lineage: Eukaryota; Metazoa; Chordata; Mammalia; Chiroptera; Pteropodidae. The record is from Rfam by way of RNAcentral.